ACGGAAGGCAGCGGUGAGGAAUAUUGGUCAAUGGGCGGAAGCCUGAACCAGCCAAGUUGCGUGAAGGAAGAAGGUAUUAUGUAUUGUAAACUUCUUUAGACGCAGAGAAUUAAGCUCCACGUGUGGAGUGAUGCUAGUAUGCGUAGAAUAAGGAUCGGCUAACUCCGUGCCAGCAGCCGCGGUAAUACGGAGGAUCCGAGCGUUAUCCGGAUUUAUUGGGUUUAAAGGGUGCGCAGGCGGCUCGUUAAGUCAGCGGUGAAAUGUCGGGGCUCAACCCGGGCACUGCCGUUGAAACUGGGGGGCUUGAGUACGGAUGAGGUCGGCGGAAUGUGACGUGUAGCGGUGAAAUGCAUAGAUAUGUCACAGAACACCGAUUGCGAAGGCAGCCGGCCAAUCCGCAACUGACGCUCAUGCACGAAAGCGUGGGGAUCGAACAGGAUUAGAUACCCUGGU
RNAcentral lists this ribosomal RNA (453 nucleotides) under uncultured Parabacteroides sp. Its description in RNAcentral is "partial 16S ribosomal RNA". It matches the Rfam family "Bacterial small subunit ribosomal RNA", at positions 341 to 791 of the family's 1533-position model. The record is from RNAcentral. Lineage: Bacteria; Pseudomonadati; Bacteroidota; Bacteroidia; Bacteroidales; Tannerellaceae.